Molecule: ribosomal RNA, 301 nt
Filed under: uncultured bacterium
Lineage: Bacteria
Description: partial 16S ribosomal RNA
Rfam family: Bacterial small subunit ribosomal RNA
Source: RNAcentral
CAGUAGCCACGGGAAUACGUAGUGCGCAAGCGUUAUCCGGAAUUAUUGGGCGUAAAGAGCUCGCAGGCGGUUUGUCGCGUCUGCCGUGAAAUCCCGAGGCUCAACCUCGGGCCUGCAGUGGGUACGGGCAGACUAGAGUGCGGUAGGGGAGAUUGGAAUUCCUGGUGUAGCGGUGGAAUGCGCAGAUAUCAGGAGGAACACCGAUGGCGAAGGCAGAUCUCUGGGCCGUAACUGACGCUGAGGAGCGAAAGGGUGGGGAGCGAACAGGAUUAGAGACCCCUGUAGUCCCUGUCUCUUAUAC